UGCAGUGAGCACAGGGUUUUCUCUCUCUGUCAUCAUCUCCCCUGAGAGGUCUGCUUUUUUAUUUUCUAAGCCAUAAAAAGAAGCGGUGGGAGAGCUGAAUUUGGAGGCCACGUCAUGUCUGCAGAGAAGAAACCAAAAAAGAAGAAAGAAGAGGCCAAUGGUACAACAGAAGCCAAGCUGAAUGGAAUUGAGACCAAGCCCAAAAAAGCUAAGACAAAGAAGAAUGAAGAUGUAGCCAAAGAGGACAGUUCUGCCAUUCAGAAUGGGAAGAAAGUGAAGAAAAAGAAGCUAGAAAA
Pundamilia nyererei is the source of this 296-nucleotide long non-coding RNA. RefSeq lists it as uncharacterized. The transcript has 3 exons. The record is from RefSeq and is a predicted model, not a curated record. NCBI's taxonomy places the organism in Eukaryota, Metazoa, Chordata, Actinopteri, Cichliformes, Cichlidae.